Pelobates cultripes (western spadefoot toad) is the source of this 318-nucleotide non-coding RNA. NCBI's taxonomy places the organism in Eukaryota, Metazoa, Chordata, Amphibia, Anura, Pelobatidae. The record is from the annotation of a GenBank genome assembly.
AACCCAUGGAGCCCAUUCGCAUGAAACUGACUGUGUAAAGACUUUGGCUCCAUGGCGAUUAAACUGUAUUCGUGUGGUCUGAACGCCAUUCGCUUAAUAAUGUGCGCUCAGACCUGAGCUAUCUGGGGAUAUGUAGAACUUCUCAAUUAUCUCCAGAGCAGAGAGGAGGGAUUGUGAUGCAUUGUGGGAUGGUUGAAAUGUGUAAGUCUGUGAUUGGUCCUUUUACCCUUUGUAUCCCAGUCUCCCAUUUGGUCCCCUAGGGGAGUGUUCACCAGGUGGGAGACCUGCAUAAAAGCCGGGCAGUUAGCCCCAGUAAAU